This 1110-nucleotide unclassified non-coding RNA is filed under the name Pomacea canaliculata. Its description in RNAcentral is "uncharacterized LOC112574001, transcript variant X8". Lineage: Eukaryota; Metazoa; Mollusca; Gastropoda; Architaenioglossa; Ampullariidae. The record is from RNAcentral.
GACUCAGGUACCAACCGCUGCUUUGGCUUCUGUUACAAACCUGUCGAGCUGUUGCGGUGGGGAAAAAAGCAAUGUUCAUUUGAAACCAGCAGUGGGAAGAUCAUUGUGAAAGAUCAUAUUAUCAGAAAUGGGAGAAGCAGAGACUAGUCUGAUUUUACGUCGUCAGAAUGCAGGUUCAUUUUCCUAAGAGGGGUUCUUAUAAGUGUUUGAACAACUGGCCUCUUGUGAAGUUCUCCGCGGUCAGUCUCGGCGAACCAGAUGACGACCUGACUUCCGGAAGAGCGAAGAUGGAAUUUAACGAGACUUUUGAUAUCAGCAAUAUAAUAACCAGAACAAGUGAUUGGCAUCGCUGUGGUCCGUGGCAGUGAGUGUGUGACCAGUGCAAGCACUUCACAACCUCCAGAACGCUGCAGAAUCUUCCUGAGGCUGACAAGGGCAUCGCAACAAGAACGCAGUUCUGGACUGUUCGAUGACCUUCCUGACCUUCUUGGUCUGAUGACCUUAAUGACCCUUGUGGAAACGAGAUCGUCUCUAAGAUGCGACAAAUUAGUGACUCUUAGAGCUGGCAUCGAUGCAGAACAUACAGAACAUAUUUAGAGAAAAAAGUGGCUCAUCGACGAGAAAAAAAUCAGUUAAAAUAACCAGAAAACUACUGGACGUACGCGCUAACAAAAAGACUACAAAAAGAUACCAUGACUGUAAAACAAUAGUACAUAAGGCGUACUCGUGUUCUGGAUGCUGCCCUUAUUACCUAAAGUGUGAUCAGGAUUGGAUAAAACACUUGUGUGGUAAAGUGUGUUCACGCAUCUCACGUGCAAGAUGUUACUAAGUCCUACGGAGCAAGAAGACGAAUAAAGUAACUCCAGUUCUACUGUUCGUUUAAAAAAAACCCGAUUAAUCCUUCGAAAAAAAAAGUUCAUUCCAACCCUGGAAAAACAUGGCGGUCACUGGAAGUUUAUACAGUUGAAGGAUUUGGAUUGCUGGCUUAGCUAUGUAACGUCUGCGUGAUGCAUGCAGGCGGUGUGUGACGUUUACCGCCCGAGUGACGCUCGUUACUUUUAUGACAAUCGUGCAAGACUUGCAGGACCUGCUGACCGCGACCCAACAAGA